GACGAACGCUGGCGGCGUGCUUAACACAUGCAAGUCGAACGGAAAGGCCCUGCUUUUGUGGGGUGCUCGAGUGGCGAACGGGUGAGUAACACGUGAGUAACCUGCCCUUGACUUUGGGAUAACUUCAGGAAACUGGGGCUAAUACCGGAUAGGAGCUCCUGCUGCAUGGUGGGGGUUGGAAAGUUUCGGCGGUUGGGGAUGGACUCGCGGCUUAUCAGCUUGUUGGUGGGGUAGUGGCUUACCAAGGCUUUGACGGGUAGCCGGCCUGAGAGUGUGACCGGCCCCAGUGUGACUGAGAUACCGCCCAGACUCCUUCGGCAGGCAGCAGUGGGGGUCUGUGCACAAUGGGCGGAGGCCGUAUGCAGCAACGCCGCGUGCGGGAGGACGGCUGUCGGGUUGGAACCCGCUUUCGCCUGGGACGAACCGUCAGUGACGGUAAUUGGUAAAGAAGCACCGGCUAACUACGUG
RNAcentral lists this ribosomal RNA (468 nucleotides) under uncultured bacterium. RNAcentral describes it as "partial 16S ribosomal RNA". It matches the Rfam family "Bacterial small subunit ribosomal RNA", at positions 28 to 507 of the family's 1533-position model. The record is from RNAcentral.